This is a long non-coding RNA of Strigops habroptila (Kakapo), 1684 nucleotides long. The record is from Ensembl. NCBI's taxonomy places the organism in Eukaryota, Metazoa, Chordata, Aves, Psittaciformes, Psittacidae.
CCUCUCGUACAAAUACAGGCUCAGAGGGUUGGGCUUGUUCAGCCUGGAGAAGAGAAGGCUCUGGAAAGACCUCAGGGCAGCUUCCAGUGCAUAAAGUGGCCUACAAGAAACCCGGAGAGGGACUUUUUACAAUUGUGUGUAGUGAUAGGACAAGGGGAAAUGGCUUUAAACUGAAAGAGGGUAGACUUAUAUUAGAUAUGAGGAAUAAGUUAUUUACUGUGACGGUGGUGAGCCACUGGAACAGGCUGACCAAAAAAGUUGUGGCUGCCCCAUCCCUGGCAGUGUUCAAGGCCAGGUUGGAUGGGGCUUUGAGAAACUCGGUCUAGUGGAAGGUGUCCCUGCCCAUGGCAUAGGGAUUGGAACUAGAUGAUCUUUAAAGGUCCCUUCCAACCCAAACCAUUCUAUGAUUCUAUAAUCUUCCUGCAAAUCCUGACCUUGCUUCCCAGGACCAUACAAUUUCUUUUUCCUCCUGAGUUCCAAGAGGAAUGCCCUGUUCAGCCAACCUGGUCUUCUGUGCUGCUUGCUGGACUUUCAACACAAAGCAACUGCCUGCUCUCCAGCUUUUAAAAGGGGGUUCUUAAAAACUGACCAUUACUCAUGGAUCCCUAAGCCCUCAGAAGCAGAUCUGCAGGGGACACUGCUAACUAGCUCACUAGUAGCUUAAAGUUAGCUCUCUUGAAAUCCAGGGUAGCAACUGUGCUGACCAUUUUUCUCAUUAUAUCAAAAUUUUUAAACUGAACUAUUUUGUGAUCUCUGCAGCCGAUACAGCCACCUACACUCACAUCUCCCACAAGUCCUUCUCUAUUCACAAAUAACAAGUCCAGAAGGGCAUCUUUCCUAGUUGACUCACUGAGUACUUACAGGAAAUUACCUUCACCAGACAAGAAAUUAUCUUUAACAUACUUCAGGAAUUUCCCAGACUUGCCUGUCACAUCAGUAUGGUAUUCCCAGUUGAUACCUGGGAAGUUGAAGUGUUCGAUAACGACAAGAAGAGAAGACAAUUAGAGAGAAGACAAGCCUGGAAAAAUUCUGAGGAGUCCUGGUGGACAAGAAGCAGAAUAUGAGUGAGCUGUGUAUCUUUGAAGCAAUAAUCACAUACUGGACCGCCUUAGUAGAAGUAUGGCUACCAAAUCAAGGCAUGAUAUUAUUUCUUUCUACUCAAGUAAUCCACAUCUGAAGCACCGUGUCCUUCACUGCAAAUACUGUGAGCACACUGUGUGUUCUAAGGAAUCUGCCUUAGAGGAAAAGAGACAGAACAGUGCACGUAGUUCAUCUAAGAAUGCUGAAGAUAUUCAAAUCUGUAUCAAGCUACUUCAGUCUGAAGAUAAAUUUUGAUAAAUAUCCUGGAGUAACAAGUACAUGAUUCAUUUAGCUUGUCUGCCACUCAGGAGAAAUCAAGUUUGGUUGAGAACCUGACUGACCUGUAAAUGGAUUCUAACCUAGAAACAGGAAAGACAGGGCAACUACAAGAACUUGAGUCUCCUGGCACUUCCAGAAAGUUGCCAUGGCAGGAAGUAUGGCUUACCAAGGCAAGACCUGCCACAGUUACUCUUCAGUACUGCCAUAGGUACAUUCAACCUUUAAAGACAAGAAGACCUCCUAGGAGCUCAGAACCUUCAUAAGGGCUUAACCAGAUGAACAGUGCUACUGACACCAAUAGGAAAAUCUGAUAAGUUAUCUUUCC